CAAUACCCAAUCAGUUAUAUCACUAAUAGAGAAAUUGCAAGGAGUUAUCAUAUAAAUACCUUGCCCAGCAACAGCUUGCUUCUUUCUCUGUCUGUUUGGAUCCAGGGAGGCAAUAUACUGAGGACAGUUCCUCUUUCAGUGCCCCCGCUUCUUGCAAAAGAAGCAUUCAGCUUGACUCUUAUCGGGUUUGAUCUUUCUAGUCUGGCCCUGC
RNAcentral lists this long non-coding RNA (211 nucleotides) under Elaeis guineensis (African oil palm). Its description in RNAcentral is "long non-coding RNA (EGUI_LNC072541)". The record is from RNAcentral. Lineage: Eukaryota; Viridiplantae; Streptophyta; Magnoliopsida; Arecales; Arecaceae.